UGAGAGGCAGAUACAUAAAUUAGGCUGAAAUGCUACUCUAAUUGUCAUUAUACCUUCCUAGAAUCAAUUACCUUUUGAUGACCAAGACAGAUUGAAAUUGUAAUGGACAUAUAUGAGGCAGACAAUU
Molecule: non-coding RNA, 127 nt
Organism: Heterocephalus glaber (naked mole-rat)
Lineage: Eukaryota; Metazoa; Chordata; Mammalia; Rodentia; Bathyergidae
Source: Ensembl